Molecule: transfer RNA, 86 nt
Filed under: Pseudomuriella schumacherensis
Lineage: Eukaryota; Viridiplantae; Chlorophyta; Chlorophyceae; Sphaeropleales; Pseudomuriellaceae
Description: tRNA-Ser
Rfam family: tRNA
About the family: Transfer RNA (tRNA) molecules are approximately 80 nucleotides in length. Their secondary structure includes four short double-helical elements and three loops (D, anti-codon, and T loops).
Source: RNAcentral
GGAGAAAUGACUGAGUGGCUUAAGGUGCCGGCUUGCUAAGCCGGUGUGUUUUCACAAACACCGCAGGUUCAAAUCCUGCUUUCUCC